UUUCUUAAAGAUAUCUAAACAAAUAAAAGUUACAUUUAGUGCCAUAUUUAAUUUCAUUAGACAUUUUAGAAUCCAAAGUCAUAAUUUUAUAUUACGUGGAAUUACAAAUAAAAUAAUAAAAAUAUAUUAUUGAUUAGCGGCACAAAACUUAUAUAUCAAAACAUGGAAUAUUCUAGCUUAAAGUAAAUUUAUUUGAUCUUUUCUAGUUAAAGAAACAUAUUUUUCUUUCGUGGUGUUUAUGUACUCUCUUAGAAGUAAUUCUCAUACUUUAAGUAGUUUCGCUUCAAAAAACCUACAUUUGUUGUUAAUACACUUACAAAUUAAAUCAGGCAUGUGAGAAAUAUCUUGACAAUCUUGAACAGUCUCACAUUUACGAAAUGCUGCAAUGAAAAAUAAAACAAAAUAAUGUUGUAAAAACGAGAUAAAAUAUUUAAUAAAAACAAUAAAAUAAGGAAGAAAAAUUCAUAAGGUGGGAAAAUUGUUUACCAUCAACCUCCUUUAAAACAAGGAGUAUGAAAAGAGAUAAAAUCAUAGCACAAAAAAACUUUGGUGUUUUACCCAUUAUUUUCCUCUACAUGUAACAAAUAGAAUAAGAUUUGAUGACUUUAUAGUGUAAAAGAUUCAUGCAAUGUUAAAAUAAAUAAAUAUAUUUUUACAAUUUGAGUAGAUUAAAAUAAUUUUUUCGUCACUUUAAAAAUUUAAUCAAUAUUUUUUAAGUAGAUUAAUGUGUUAUGAGUUGCCUCUUUAGCGACACCAAAUUUUUUUAAAAGAAGAAAUAUAAAAAGAAUUAAAAUUAUAGCACAAAUAAACUUUGGAGUUUUAGCCAUUAUUUCCUCCUUUACAUAUAAUAUGAUUUGAUCGCUUCAUGGUGUAAAAGGCUCAUGCAAUGCUAAAAAAAAUAUAAAUAUUUUUACAACCUGAGUAUAUUAAAAUAUUUUGUUUGUCACUUUUAAGAACUUAAUCAAUAAAAAAUGAGAAGAUGAAUGAUGGGGAUGGCAGAUCGUAGAUUUAGCGUGGAAGAGUUGUAAGUUUAGCAUUCAACGUUCAAGUUGAUAUUUGAGAAAGAAGAGUGGAUUCAAAUUGUAUUUGAAACUUGUUAUUUGAAUUUGACAAUUUUUCUAUAUAUAAUAGAGAGAGAAUAAAUAACUCACUAUUAGAUACAAGUGAAUUGCAGAGAUAUGUAGGAUGCAUUUACAUCUAUAUCAUUGGUUAUCAUUAGUAUGAUAAUCUUCUCAUAUUAAAAAGAUUUUGGAAGGAGUGAGACCUUUCUCUGCCCGUUAACCGAGAUUGAUGUGGUUGGCUCAGAGUCUUCCAGUGUCGAUCUUGUCGUCCUAUAACAAAAAUAAAUAAAAUCCUAUCAAAAUAAACUUUGGAAUUUUAGCCAUUAUUUUCCCUUUGCAUGCAACUAAUAGAAUAUGAUUUGAUCAUUUUAUAGUGUGAAAGGGUCAUGCAAUUCUAAAAAAAAUAUUUUGUUUGUCACUUUUGAGAAUUUAAUCAAUAGCUCUUAAGUAUAUUAAUAUCUUAGUGUAUUGCCCCUUUAACGAUCAAAACUCUUUAAAAUAAGCAAUAUAAAACGAAAAAGAAACACAAUAUAAUUUUUUUUGGAGUUUUAGCCGGUAUUUCCCUCGUAGCAUUUAACAAAUAGAAUAUGAUUUGAUGACUUUAUAAUGUGAAAUCAAAAUAGUCCAACUUGAUAUUGUCUAGAAUAUCAAUAGAAAUAUUGAUCAUGUCUGAUACUGAUUGAUCUAAUAGCAUAUGUACUACAUAAAUACACACAAUAACACAAGAUACACCUUUCGUGCAUCAAGAUACAUUGUAAUAAGACAUCUUACCUUUCGUGCACACAAGGAACUAAAGGAAAUUAAUGAGAACAUAUAAUCAACUACAUGAUAUAAAGACAUCUUACCUUUUACUUUACCUGUCAUCUAAUCAUUGGGAGAAAAAAAGUAAAUAUAGGGUGAUAUAUUAAUCUCAAGGAAUUCUCACUACAAUCAUAAGUUCACUCUAAGACUAGUUACCAUUCAUUUAUCCUACUACCCAUAUUAUUAAGUAUCUCACAAUAAUACUUGAGAUACUCAACAUCUUAAAGAACACCAUGAUGUAAUCCAUCUCACACACUAUAGAGAAAAUGAAAAAUUAUCCCAUAGACCAAUAUGAACCCACAUAUCCUAACCUUAAUGGUCCUCCAUAAUUCGAGUCUAGUUUAUGGAAUCAUCAAUAUCUUACUACAAUUUUGUGAGACUCCAGUUUGACUUUCCAGAUCAUAUAACUAGUGUACACAAUGAGAUAUUCUUCUCCCUACAUGCAUACAAGUUUUUUUAAUUCCUCAAAACAGUGAUACUAGAACAACCGCAUAACCACUAUACAACUUUACCCUCAAUACGGAAGUGAGUUGAACUCGUCGUUAGAAAUAUACUCCUCCUACUAUUCUAAUCACUUAGGCAUUUUUACUUAGUUAUUUUUUAGCUUACAACUCUUAUUUAUACAUUAUUCUUUACUAAUCUCAAUUUACUAUUCUAGAAAGUAUUGCUCAAGUUGAUCACUUCAACUUCAUUCUUUUACUAUUGUUCUUACACGAUAUCCCGUUACUUGUGAAUGUACUAAAACAGGGGCUUGAACCAAGAAUAGGCAAAAACGGACAAGAAGACUUGACCUAUUAUAGUAUGUCCAUAAAGUCGGUUACGACCCUUAACUUUCUUAAGAGGCCUCCUGGUACAAAACCUAGGGGACGAUAUGGCCUAGAAAUAAUAUAGGAUACAAUAUGUAAUACAUUAGGGCCCUAAAUUCAUCUUCUUACUCACUCAUGCCUGUAAUAAAAAAGGUUCCUUCCUCUUUUCUCUCUAGCAUUCAUGAUUCAAAAUUAGAUUUAACAUCAAGUAAAUGCUAGAAAUUUUAGAACAUCCAAUUUAACAUGCAAUCAAGAGUCCUACUUGGAUUUUUACCUAUUUCCGCAUAAAAUAUAAUGAUCCUAAUUCAAUCUACCCAAAUCACAAACUUAAGAGAACCCAACUUUUCUCUUGUUUCUGAUUUCAAGAGGUAUAAGUGUUUGUAUUUGGUUGAUAAUCUUUGAUGCAUUCCACUUCUUGUCCUCUAAAAUAUUGUAAAAUCUCAUCUCUACAUGCAAGGCUUAAAGGUGUUUGAACUUGUUGUCCCUUUCCCCUUACUCAUGCACUUUGUCUAUCUCCAUUCAUGCUAAAGUUAUCUCAUCUCUCUACAAUUUUAAAAUGAGAACGUGAGAAGAAAAGAGUCAAUUAUCUUCUCUUUGGCUUUUUAAACCGCCUUGGAAGAAGACACUAAUAACCUUACUAUAAAUUAAUAUGCUUGUUGCCUCUUUUUUAUAAGACUUCCUUUACAUAAACAUAUUUAAUUUUCAAAGGAAAUUAGGGAUAUUACAACUCUCCCUUCCUUAAUUAAAAUUCAUCAUCAAAUUUAAAGAAUUACCUAAAGAGGUGUAGGUAGUUUGUUUGUAUUUUAGCUUUCAAUUCUUAGGUAGCUUCUCAUGGAUGUGAUUCCUCCUUCAAUACAAACAUCAUCUCUUUGUUCCUUAGAGAUUUCAGUGUAUAGUACACUAUUUGGAUAGUUAGAGGCUAAAAAGUGAGGUGCAUUAUAAUCUUGAUUGUGCCUAGAAGAAUAGGUUGAAAAGGAUCUGGUACAAACUUCUAGAGUUGAGAUACAUGGAACACAACAUGAAGCCCGGAUAAGGGAGGUGGUAAUGCCAAAUUGUAACCCAUUUCUCCUAUUUUACAUAUGAUUCGAUAAGGUCCAAUGAACCACAUAAUAAAUUUCUUCGUCUUAAAUGGUUCCUUUAAUCCUUAUUAAGGGGUGACUUUCUAGAAUACAUGAUAUUCUUCAUCAAAUUCCAAAGGCCUCAUAUGCUAAUCCACAUAGAUCUUUUGAAGAUCCAUAUUUUCCUCAUUUUCUCUUGAACUUUCCUUAUUUUAUCCAUGGUCUAAUGAAUUGUCUUAGGCACUAGCAUUCCUUUAUCUCCCACUUCUAUCCAACAUAAGGGGGUAUAGAAUUCCCUCAUGUGCAAAGCUUGAUAGACACCAUCCCAAUACUAUAAUGGUAACUAUUGUUAUAUGCGAAUUCCACCAAUGGCAGGUGCUUAUUCUAACUUCCUUCAUCUUCUAAGAUACAAGCCCCUCAACAUAUCUUACAAGGUCUGCAUGGUUCUUUUUGUCCGAUCUUCUGAUUGCAUAUGGUUAUCUCUCAUAAAAUUCAAUUUGGUCCCCGUCACAUGGUGAAAAACAUCCCAAAAUAUAGAUGUGAACUUUGGGUUGCGAUCAAACACAAUGCUUAUUUCACUUGUUGACAUACCAUAUACCUAGACAUAAAUUUUUCUCUUUAUCUCUUCAUUAUAGGCCACGCAUAUUUUCCCUUCAGGUCAUGAUACAUUUUAGAAGAAUCAUGAUGAAUAAUGAUGAUGAUUUUGUAAGCUUAUUCCAUAAUUACUCUCCUCAGCUCCGAAUAAUUUGAGACACACAUCUUUCCUAAGAAUAAAACAGCUUCACUUGUCGGUUGGGUGAACCCUAGUUGAUUUUUCUUAUCUUGAAAUUCUACAUCCAAUAAUUGGGUUUGCCUUAUUCUAUCCCUAAGGUCACAUAAAAUAUUCGUCUAACUUAUAAAGACUCCGUUUUAGGUCUGAGUGAAAUUCAAGUCGAGAUCUCAAAAUUUCUUUAGCAAAUUGUACUAUAAUAUCAUUAACUCUGCUAUGUGAAACUCAUUUCUUCUUAAUGUAUCCCCUACCUUGUUUUCCUUUUUAAGGUGAUACCUUAAUUCAAAGUCAUAAUCCUUCAUAAAGUUCAUUCACCUUCACUAGCGCAUAUUUAGUUCCUUCUAAUCGAACAUAUACUUCAUGCUUUUAUGAUUGCUGAACAUUUCAAAAUGCACUCCAUAAAUGUAGUGACUCCACACCUUAAGUGCAAAAAUGGUCGCAUCUAACUCUAAGUCAUGGGUCGAAUAAAUGUCUUUAUGCAAUUUCAAUUAUAUGGACACAUUGGCCACAACUUUUCCAUUUUCUGUUAAGACAUACUCCAAUCCUUUCUUUAAGGUGUUGCAUGAAAACUUUGUACUUUUGUGUAAGGUUUGUAAUAAUUAAAAAUAUAGUGGUGGCUAACUUAUUUUUUAUCUUUUGAAACUACGCUCACACUUAGAAUCCCAUUGAAAUUGAGUCUCCUUACGUGUCAUUCGAGUCAAAAGCAUGGCUAAUUGAGAAAACCCUAGAACGAGUCGACAAGAUUCUUAGCCUUCUCUUUCCCAGAUUUCUUGAUGAAUCUUGCUUGUAGUUCCUGUUCAGCCACCUUCUCCCAUUCUGAGUUCAUCUACUUCAACCCAUCUCAUGAGCCUCUAAUGAAGCUUGAAGUUCUUCUAACUUCAUCUCAGCUAGGUUCUUGGACUCUUCAAUUGACACUACAAUGUAAUCAAACUUUGUAGUCAAUGAUCUCAACACUUUCUCAAUCUUUUUCAAAUUGUUGAUUGAAUCACCACACUAUUUCAUCUGGUUCGUUAGCAGCACCACACGUGAAAGAUAUUAUGAGACUAAUUAAUCUUCCUUCUUCUGAGUCAUCUCGAAUUUCUUUCUCAACAUCUGCAACUUCACCCUUUUCAGUUUUUCAUCUCCGCCGUACAAGCUUUACAACUUGUCUGAUGGUCCUUUCGCCAUUUCUUCUUCAAUAAUCUUCUCAAGCACGUUAGAAUCCACAUACUAGUGAAUCAAGAUCAUACAUUUUCCAUCUUUCUUUCUUCAUUCUUUGUGUGCCGCUUGCUGAGCUUCAUCUGCAUUCGUUUCCAAUAUUGGUACUACAUCGUUCACGAUUUCAGACACAUCUUGAAAUCUGAAGAUGACUUUCAUCUGCGCAACCCAUCAUUCAUAGUUCUCCUCUUUAAAUUUGGGUAAAUUCGCUAGAAAUUACGCUGAUGAUAUUGUUCCGUUUGCCAUUACAAAUUAUCUCUGAAUCACAAUCGGGCUCUUUGAUACCAAUUUGUUGGAACAAAAGUUUUCAAGAAAGAUAUAAGACAUAGAAGAAGAAGAGAGAAAAUAGAAAAAAUUGUAUGUAAAUUGAAUUAUGAAAAUUAAGUUAGAGUGAAGUUAUGUUUACAUCAUACAAAGUUCUUUAUAUAGAUAACUAAAACUCAUACCCAAACUAUAUAAACCGGCUCAAACCCAAAAUAAUACAAAAUUUAAAAUACAAAAUUAUAAAUUGCAAUUCGACAUUACUCUAUGUUGUAUUCGACUAUGUCAAAUACAACUAACUAUGACAAUUUCGACUACUUGCUUCAACCUAGUCGAAUGCUAACUCUCAAUCAGAACUUCGAAUUACAACUUCUAACACUUAUAAUUAAUAUAUAUAUAUAUAUAUAUAUAUAUGUAUAUAUAUAUAUAUAUUAUAUGAUUUUUAUAGGAGAUAAAUAAUUUAUAUUCUUGUUGAUUUUAUUAUAACUCCGGAAUGCAAAUUAUUUUUAUAUCUUACAUUUAAGCAUAUGUGUAGUCAUAUUAAGGUAAGAACAAUCGAUUAUGAUUUAUAAUAUGUCAAAUAGCUACUUAUUUGAGUGUUUAUCCUUUUUUUCUGAUACCGUGUUGCUUGCUACAUGGUUUGUGUGCAUAAGGUUAUACAUUUUUUUAGUGGAAUCUAUAUUCAAAUUAGUGCUAGUCUCUAUUAAAAAGUAAAUGGUAAUAAAAGCUCACAAUAAUACUCUUUUUUUUUGGUCUAAUUCGUGUUAUUUAGUAUGUAGAGUCCUGUUUCUGUUUUUAUUCGGUACACGUCAUACUUUUUUUACUUAUAUAACAGUGAGAAUUCAUUUUCUCAAUCCCUUUUAUGUUGUUUAUAUAUUUUUAGGAGAAUCUAUGUCAGAUUUUAAUUCAAGAAAAAGAUAAGCAUUGACUAAAGAUGACUUGAGCCGUCGUUAUCAUAAAAACGCCUGUCUAAAGGUGGUUAAAGCCAACCAUUAUCAAUAAAAGUACCAUCUAAAGAUCAUUUGAGCCAAUGGUGAUCAAUAAAAAUGAUUAUCAAUAUAUACAAAUAUAUAUAUAUAUAUAUAUAUAUAUAAAUAUAUAUAUAUAUAUAUAUAUAUAUAAUAUAUAUAUAUAUAUAUAUAUAUAUAUAAAGACAAUGCUUAUUAAUAUAAAGCAUUUCUUAAAGAUAGAUAUAUUUCUUCCGUGGUGUUUAUGUACUCUCUUAGAAGUAAUACUCAUACUUUAAGUAGCUUCGCUUCAAAAAACCUACAUUUAUUGUUAAUACACUUACAAAUUAAAUCAGGCAUGUGAGAAAUGUCUUGACAAUCUUGAACAGUCUCACAUUUACGAAAUGCUGCAAUGAAAAAUAGAACAAAAUAAUUUUAUAAAAACGAGAUAAAACAUUUAAUAAAAACAAUAAAAUAAGGAAGAAAACUUCUUAUGAUGGAAAAAUUGUUUACCAUCAACCUCCUUUAAAACAAGGAGUAUGAAAAGAAAUAAAAUCAUAGCACAAAAAAUCUUUGGUGUUUUACCCAUUAUUUUCUUCCACAUGUAAGAAAUAGAAUAAGAUUUGAUCACUUUAUAGUGUAAAAGGUUCAUGCAAUGUUAAAGAUAAAUAAAUAUUUUACAAUUUGAGUAGAUUAAAAUAAUUUUUUCGUCACUUUGAAAAUUUAAUCAAAAUUUUUU
RNAcentral lists this long non-coding RNA (7639 nucleotides) under Lathyrus oleraceus (garden pea). RNAcentral's name for it is "Pisum sativum (pea) long non-coding RNA (PSAT_LNC010685)". The record is from RNAcentral. Lineage: Eukaryota; Viridiplantae; Streptophyta; Magnoliopsida; Fabales; Fabaceae.